UACGUAGGGUGCAAGCGUUAAUCGGAAUUACUGGGCGUAAAGCGUGCGCAGGCGGUGAUGUAAGACAGAUGUGAAAUCCCCGGGCUCAACCUGGGAACUGCAUUUGUGACUGCAUCGCUGGAGUACGGCAGAGGGGGAUGGAAUUCCGCGUGUAGCAGUGAAAUGCGUAGAUAUGCGGGGGAACACCGAUGGCGAAGGCAAUCCCCUGGGCCUGUACUGACGCUCAUGCACGAAAGCGUGGGGAGCAAACAGG
Molecule: ribosomal RNA, 253 nt
Filed under: uncultured bacterium
Lineage: Bacteria
Description: partial 16S ribosomal RNA
Rfam family: Bacterial small subunit ribosomal RNA
Source: RNAcentral